GCGGCUCUGCCCAGGGACUGGGGAUCUUACAGAGCUGGUCCCAUCCCCUCUUCAGGAUGUCGUCUGUACAGGGGAGUCUUUGAAGCCCAGACCUAGUGCUGCACCCCGAAAUCUUUGUGUUUUGAAGAGCAGGUUGAACUGGAACACCUCAGAGGCAGACCGGAGUGACUGGACUGAACUGCAGGUAACCCUGAGAGUGGCUUCUGCACUGAGGGCGUUGUUGGCCUGGCUUACUGUCUGUCGUAUUGGCACCAGUGCUCCGCCAUCUAUCUCCUCCCAUUGGUUGACCUCAGAGCCCACCAAAGCACAACAGGGUAAUUUUAUAGGAAUCUGAUUAAUUUUGUCUGCUUGAUCUCACAAAAUAUGGCAGGGGCCAGUGUAAGUCUAAUUUCUGUUAUACUUCACAAGAGUUAGAUUAUGUUAAAUGGAAAAAGCCAACCAGCAAUCACGAGUGGAGUCCACAGAUGACAUGAGAAGCACAGAACAGAUGAGG
Molecule: long non-coding RNA, 493 nt
Filed under: Meriones unguiculatus (Mongolian gerbil)
Lineage: Eukaryota; Metazoa; Chordata; Mammalia; Rodentia; Muridae
Description: lncRNA (ENSMUGG00000023821.1)
Source: RNAcentral